Molecule: long non-coding RNA, 363 nt
Organism: Oreochromis niloticus (Nile tilapia)
Lineage: Eukaryota; Metazoa; Chordata; Actinopteri; Cichliformes; Cichlidae
Exons: 3
Source: RefSeq, a predicted model, not a curated record
GUUUAAUGUGUCAACUGUUCGCAGCUGUGUACCUGUUGCUAACUGGUGAGAACUAACAUAGCCCUGAGGAAGAUAACGGGAAGAGAGCAGUCUGGAGCAUUUCAUGAAGUAUGUGGAUACUGAUAAUGAAUCUUUAUCAAGUCAUAUGAGAGCACAGUGACCAUAACUGACAUCUGUCACCACAGCAGCAACUCUAAAGCUGACUGACCUGCUGCUGCUCUUCAGAGGUCCCACCUGGAUGGGUUCUCUGUACAGAAGCUUGGAGAUGUUCUUUAGGUCCAGAACCUCGCAGUGACCGCAGUCAUCGUCAGUCACACCGCAGCUGAUCAGAGACGCAUUGUUUGUGAAAGGCAACAACACGUU